RNAcentral lists this unclassified non-coding RNA (261 nucleotides) under fungal sp. RNAcentral's name for it is "partial internal transcribed spacer region". The stretch from base 1 to 46 matches the Rfam family "Eukaryotic small subunit ribosomal RNA", at positions 1786 to 1831 of the family's 1831-position model. The record is from RNAcentral. Lineage: Eukaryota; Fungi.
AAGUCGUAACAAGGUUUCCGUAGGUGAACCUGCGGAAGGAUCAUUAACAAAUCAUCAUAGUCGUGCGCUCCGGCGCACCACUAUAUACACCCCAAGCCUGGGAAGAGCAGCAAUGCUUGGACCGGCUUUGGUUGCAGCCCUCGGGCUGUAGGCUAGGGCGCCGCAAGGCAAACUAGCCACAUAGACGCUUGCUUUAGGUUUGACAGAGUUUAGUUGCAUCAUCAAAAAAUACAACUUUUAACAAUGGAUCUCUUGGCUCUU